UCGCCUGUUUAUCAAAAACAUCUUUUCUUGUUAGUUUUUGAAGUAUGGCCUGCCCACUGACGCUUAGUUGAAGGGCCGCGGUAUUUUGACCGUGCAAAGGUAGCAUAAUCAUUAGUUCUUUAAUUGUGAUCUAGUAUGAAUGGCUUGACGAGACAUAAGCUGUCUUAGAGGUAUUUUUUAUUGAAUUUGAUUUUUAAGUUAAAAUGCUUAAAUGUUUUUAUGGGACGAGAAGACCCUAUAGAGUUUGACAGAUUUUCUAUUUAUUUGUUGUUUGUUUGUAUUUAUUGAGUGGGAAGGAACUGUUUUGUUGGGGUGAUGGGAGGAAUUUAUUUAACUCCUCUUUAUAUUUUUAUAUUUAUUUAUAUUUAUUUUGAUCCAUUUAUUUUGAUUAUAAGAUUAAAUUACCUUA
This 409-nucleotide ribosomal RNA is filed under the name Cyranotermes timuassu. RNAcentral's name for it is "partial 16S ribosomal RNA". The stretch from base 1 to 211 matches the Rfam family "Archaeal large subunit ribosomal RNA", at positions 1888 to 2143 of the family's 2987-position model. The record is from RNAcentral. Lineage: Eukaryota; Metazoa; Arthropoda; Insecta; Blattodea; Termitidae.